Molecule: transfer RNA, 86 nt
Filed under: Picocystis salinarum
Lineage: Eukaryota; Viridiplantae; Chlorophyta; Picocystophyceae; Picocystales; Picocystaceae
Description: tRNA-Tyr
Rfam family: tRNA
About the family: Transfer RNA (tRNA) molecules are approximately 80 nucleotides in length.
Source: RNAcentral
GGGAAAGUGGCUGAGAGGUCAAAGGCGCCAGACUGUAAAUCUGACGAACGCUUCGUUCUUCGCAGGUUCGAAUCCUGCCUUUCCCA